RNAcentral lists this ribosomal RNA (305 nucleotides) under uncultured bacterium. RNAcentral describes it as "bacterial SSU rRNA". It matches the Rfam family "Bacterial small subunit ribosomal RNA", at positions 333 to 656 of the family's 1533-position model. The record is from RNAcentral.
UUUUCCCUACGGGAGGCAGCAGUGGGGAAUUUUGCGCAAUGGGGGAAACCCUGACGCAGCAACGCCGCGUGCGGGAUGACGGCCCUCGGGUUGUAAACCGCUUUCAGCAGGGAAGAUAUUGACGGUACCUGCAGAAGAAGCUCCGGCUAACUACGUGCCAGCAGCCGCGGUAAUACGUAGGGAGCGAGCGUUAUCCGGAUUCAUUGGGCGUAAAGCGCGCGUAGGCGGCUGCCUAAGCGGAACCUCUAACCCCGGGGCUCAACCUCGGGCCGGGUUCCGGCCUGGGCGUCUCGAGCGCGGUCGAG